RNAcentral lists this long non-coding RNA (1766 nucleotides) under Brachypodium distachyon (stiff brome). RNAcentral's name for it is "long non-coding RNA (BDIS_LNC003564)". The record is from RNAcentral. Lineage: Eukaryota; Viridiplantae; Streptophyta; Magnoliopsida; Poales; Poaceae.
CAGCUAGGUCCAUGCUUAUAAACACUUAUGUGUCAGACUGCUAGUGCGGUACUAGCUCGUGAUCUUAUAAUGGAUCACUUGAUUACUCUCCCAUUCCCAGGGUAUAUUUCUCCUCUCUAAUCCAAGCCGCCAGCCAUUCCUUCUUCCCAACGCUAGCCAUCACAAUCCCCUCCAAUUACCCUCGUUGUCACUGGAGUACGUAGUGGCGGAGCCAACUGAUAAGAUCAUUAGGUUCAGUACUGUUUUUGGUGCAAUCUUCUAUCGAUGAACAAUGCCAAAGACUAACUCACUGAAGCUUUGGUGAAUUUUAUUGGGCUAUAUCGAACCCAAAUGCUUGCAUAGCAUCUCCUCCCUGCGCAAGAGUACGCCACAACCGAAUGCCUUGUGAUUGAUCGCAGUGAUAGAUGCUCUCGCCGAUCCCGCUAUGGUGGCCCGGCCAUGGGCCGUCUGUCGGCGGGUUCACUUCCGUCGAGGGAGUUGCAGACAUUGGCCACGCUGUGGAUAGCCGCAGACCACGGUGGCGCUCACCGCUCUCCUCCUAUCGUGUCCAACAAUGUUGAUAGCUCGGUGCCCGAGUUGAUGUCCCCAGUUGGUAGUCGCAGGAGCAAUGUGGCGAUGCAGCCGGUGUGGCUACUACGUGCGAGCAUUUGUCCGGUUUCGAUGUGGGCUUCUUGGUGGCACAGCACUGACGUGUUUUCAGAAGGAUUUUCUAUGCCAAUUCGGUUGCCAUGACCGAAACAACCAGCAACACAACUGCCUGCAAUAUGGUCUUCAUUGGUUAGGUACUUGGGUCAAGCAAUCCGUGAUCUGUUAUUCCUUGUUAGACCUGGCAGACAACACUCGUGUGUCAAUGUGUCAUCUCCUUCCUAAAGAGGCAUUGUCUUGCAGUUUUGGAAGCUACGGGUGGUUCGGUCUUCACUAGUUAAUUUGUCCAGACAGGCGCGUGAGCUCUAGGUGAUAACCUUUGUUUUGCCUUGGCAUAAUGGCAUGCUAUAACAAUGUUCUCACAACUAGCAUGGUGGCCCACGCGAAAUACGCGGGCUAGACCUGAUGAUCGUUGGUGUAUUAUUUUUUUUACGUGUGCCGAUGAUUUUUUCAUUUUGUACCUUUUUUAAUUUCCUGCCAUACUGGUAUAUUCUCUCUGGUCGGGUUUAUAAAACCUGCACGUUAUUUUAUAACGGACUUUGGCGAAACAUUGCUUGAUAAUACGACGUUAUCGCGACACAAAAGAGAUAUCGUUGUAUCUGUAUUGGAAAACUCAAUAAAUAGUAUAACGUUUACAUACCUAUAUUUUUUUGUAUAAUUGUUUAUCAAAAUUUGACAAAAAAUUCAAUGCAAGUGUUAUAAGUCCGGAUGGAGGGAGUAUGAUUCACUGAUAUUGGAUUUUGUCCGAUACAUAUCUAUUCAUCCUGAUUUUAGUUCUAAAAUCGAAGACAUAAAACUUUUAUACCUAAGGGCUUUCACGGCGUGCCAAAAGCCAAAUUUCCCACAUAGGUCUAAAAGCCAAACUGCUUAUUCUCUGGUGAAGCCAAAUUUGAUGCUAAAUUUUAGUUUACCUGUAGUGCAGAUAAUGCCAGACCUGCACGUAGAUGGGACCCGCAAAAGAAUGAAUGAAUUACUCAUUUCUCUUAUCUUUUCUUUUCCCCAACCUCACUUUCCCAUCAAAUUCUCAGACCCCAACUCCGUCAGCGCCCCACUUCACCACCUCCGCUCGCGGCCCUGCACCUCCCCCGCUCCUCCGCCGCGCGCCCUCUGCACCACCUCCG